UGGGGAAUAUUGGACAAUGGGCGAAAGCCUGAUCCAGCCAUGCCGCGUGUGUGAAGAAGGUCUUCGGAUUGUAAAGCACUUUAAGUUGGGAGGAAGGGCAGUUACCUAAUACGUGAUUGUUUUGACGUUACCGACAGAAUAAGCACCGGCUAACUCUGUGCCAGCAGCCGCGGUAAUACAGAGGGUGCAAGCGUUAAUCGGAAUUACUGGGCGUAAAGGCGCGCGUAGGUGGUUAGUUAAGUUGGAUGUGAAAUCCCCGGGCUCAACCUGGGAACUGCAUUCAAAACUGACUGACUAGAGUAUGGUAGAGGGUGGUGGAAUUUCCUGUGUAGCGGUGAAAUGCGUAGAUAUAGGAAGGAACACCAGUGGCGAAGGCGACCACCUGGACUGAUACUGACACUGAGGUGCGAAAGCGUGGGGAGCAAACAGGAUUAGAUACCCCCUAGUCCCUGAGCGGGCUGGCAAGGCGCAU
This 472-nucleotide ribosomal RNA is filed under the name uncultured bacterium. RNAcentral describes it as "bacterial SSU rRNA". It matches the Rfam family "Bacterial small subunit ribosomal RNA", at positions 355 to 825 of the family's 1533-position model. The record is from RNAcentral.